AAGAAAAGAAAAAGAUGAUUUAGAUAUUGAAUUGAGGUUAGGGUUUCUGGAAUUAGGGUUCUUGUAGAACUGAUGAUGAUAAAGUGACAUUCUUGGAUGAAGAGAAGAGGGGUUGUUGUUGAUUUGAUGAAAUGAAGCUAUUCUGAUGCUGAAUCGAAAUCAGGUGAUUGCGGAAGUAGCAGAAGCGUCGAUUGAAGAUUAUGAGACUGGCAUGCAAGGUUGCAAUGAAGCUGCAAAGAUAUGGAUGCAGGCUUGAAGGUUCUUCUAAUAGGGGUCUUUACCUCGAGGUACUUUACUCCGUUGAUUAUGAUUCAUUAACAUC
Papaver somniferum (opium poppy) is the source of this 322-nucleotide long non-coding RNA. RefSeq lists it as uncharacterized. The record is from RefSeq and is a predicted model, not a curated record. The transcript has 3 exons. Lineage: Eukaryota; Viridiplantae; Streptophyta; Magnoliopsida; Ranunculales; Papaveraceae.